RNAcentral lists this ribosomal RNA (424 nucleotides) under uncultured bacterium. RNAcentral describes it as "partial 16S ribosomal RNA". It matches the Rfam family "Bacterial small subunit ribosomal RNA", at positions 359 to 774 of the family's 1533-position model. The record is from RNAcentral.
GAAUAUUGGACAAUGGGGGGAACCCUGAUCCAGCCAUGCCGCGUGUGUGAAGAAGGCCUUUUGGUUGUAAAGCACUUUAAGCGAGGCGGAGGCUACUCUAGUUACUACCCAGCGAUAGUGGACGUUAACCGCAGACUAAGCACCGGCUAACCCUGUGCCAGCAGCCGCGGUAAUACAGAGGGUGCAAGCGUUAAUCGGAUUUACUGUGCGUAAAGCGCGCGUAGGUGGCUAAUUAAGUCAAAUGUGAAAUCCCCGAGCUUAACUUGGGAAUUGCAUUCGAUACUGGUUGGCUAGAGUAUGGGAGAGGAUGGUAGAAUUCCAGGUGUAGCGGUGAAAUGCGUAGAGAUCUGGAGGAAUACCGAUGGCGAAGGCAGCCAUCUGGCCUAAUACUGACACUGAGGUGCGAAAGCAUGGGGAGCAAACA